CGUGAAACCGUUCAGGGGUAAACCUGAGAAACCCAAAAGAUCGAAUGGGGAGAUUCAUCGUCAACGAUGCCGGCUCCCGUUGGUGCGCGAUGCUCCGGACGGACCCUUCGGGGCUCCGUUAACGAGGGCACGCCACUUUCGGCUCGAACGUUCCGGCUCCGUAGUCGUGCACUUCUCCCCUAGUAGAACGUCGCGACCCGUUGUGUGUCGGCCUACGGCCCGAGCGGGCGCCUGUCGCGUCGCAUUGCGCGCACGCGGCAGACCCUCGGACGCCUGGCCGGCUGCACGACGGUACUCGCACGGUGUAUCGGGCCAUCAACCAAUCCGAUUCUCGAAUCGUACGUGCGUCUGGCCCGCCGCAAGCUCGAUCAGUUCUUACCCGGUGGUCUCGGACCCAGUGCCGUACCCGGGCCUGAUCAGCUGUUAGCAGGCGGUGUCCUCGGACUGGCCAAGCUUCGAAUUACCGGUCGGCGACGCUAAUGCUUUGGGUACUCUCAGGACCCGUCUUGAAACACGGACCAAGGAGUCUAACAUGUGCGCGAGUCAUUGGGAUGCACAAACCUAAAGGCGAAAUGAAAGUGAAGGUCGUACCUUGCGUCGACCGAGGGAGGAUGGGCCGCGUUACGAGGCGGCCCCGCACUCCCGGGGCGUCUCGUUCUCAUUGCGAGGAGAGGCGCACCCAGAGCGUACACG
RNAcentral lists this ribosomal RNA (693 nucleotides) under Tropidopedia nigrita. RNAcentral describes it as "partial 28S ribosomal RNA". It matches the Rfam family "Eukaryotic large subunit ribosomal RNA", at positions 398 to 808 of the family's 3401-position model. Lineage: Eukaryota; Metazoa; Arthropoda; Insecta; Hymenoptera; Apidae. The record is from RNAcentral.